This 778-nucleotide long non-coding RNA is filed under the name Homo sapiens (human). RNAcentral's name for it is "HSALNT0336376". Lineage: Eukaryota; Metazoa; Chordata; Mammalia; Primates; Hominidae. The record is from RNAcentral.
UUUAAUAGUAUUUAUCCAAGCCAGUUUGUGAUUUCUUCACUCUCUCCAACAAAUAUGUUAUUUGUAAUAGCUAUCUUCUCUCAUCUAGGUGUUUGAAAAAUGUCUCUAACGUGUGUGGGCUGGAAUGCAUUUUGUUUUUUCUGCAGGUAUAUUCAUUUAACAAGGGGAGUCUCUGAGGAGCUAUCAAAAACUGCUUGCCAUCUUUCCAAAUCAUCUCUGUCUGCAGUGACCAUGUCUUAAUCCUGAAGGAAAACAAGGACAAACCUCUUUUGGCAGUUGGGCCUGAAGCCCCAGAACUUAUGCUGGUCCUGGCACCAAUGAGGACAGAAAUGAUUGAGCACAUGAAUUUGGUGGAAAUUGAUUUUUACUUCUCUGCAGCUAAGUAUGUGGCAGUCUUGGCCACAUGGUGACUCAGCAGAGGAGCCUAUGUACUGGCUGUCCUGAUGCUCUUCCUGAUUCAACUGAUUCUCUACACUUGAUCUUAGCCAAAAGGCCGAGAAGCAAUGAUUCAACUGAUUCUCAAAAGGACACCGCUGCAGGAAUAAACCCACUUCUAAAUAUGGUACACUUGGAAAGUUGUCCAGCUCGCAAUGUCAGAGUCACAGACUUCAUGCACACUCAUCUCAAGUCAAUGUUAUCUAACACAUUUCCACUAAUUAUUGGAUGACACUAGCAAGAAACUCUGAUAUUUUUCACCUAACCUUUGCUAAUUUAAAUGUGGCCAGCCCACCCUCAUACUGCAUUGUGAUGGGGAUAUAAAAGCCAAUGAAAGAUAUCA